This 515-nucleotide ribosomal RNA is filed under the name uncultured archaeon. Its description in RNAcentral is "bacterial SSU rRNA". It matches the Rfam family "Archaeal small subunit ribosomal RNA", at positions 93 to 593 of the family's 1478-position model. The record is from RNAcentral.
GUAACUCUUAGUCAACCUGCCCUGGAGACAUGGACAACCCCGGGAAACUGGGAUUAAUCCGUGAUAGGUCAUCUCAUCUGGAAGGAGAGAUGGCUUAAAGGGAUGCGCGGGCUUCUUCUGCGUAUUUGCUCCAGGAUGGGACUGCGUCCGAUCAGGCUGUUGGCGGGGUAAUGGCCCACCAAGCCAGUAACCGGUACGGGCCUUGAGAGAGGUGGCCCGGAGAUGGACACUGAGAGAAGGGUCCAGGUCCUACGGGGCGCAGCAGGCGCGAAACCUUCGCAAUGCGCGCAAGCGUGACGAGGUUAAUCCGAGUGAUUUCCGCUGAGGAGACCUUUUGUCUGCUGUAAAUAGGCAGGCGAAUAAGGGGAGGGCAAGCCUGGUGUCAGCCGCCGCGGUAAUACCAGCUCCUCGAGUGGUCGGGGCGAUUAUUGGGCCUAAAGCAUCCGUAGCCGGUUCCGUAGGUCCUCUGUUAAAUCCACCGCCCACGGUUGACCUGCAGAGGAUACCGCGAGACU